GACGAACGCUGGCGGCGUGCCUAAUACAUGCAAGUUGAGCGCUGAAGGUUGGUACUUGUACCAACUGGAUGAGCAGCGAACGGGUGAGUAACGCGUGGGGAAUCUGCCUUUGAGCGGGGGACAACAUUUGGAAACGAAUGCUAAUACCGCAUAAAAACUUUAAACACAAGUUUUAAGUUUGAAAGAUGCAAUUGCAUCACUCAAAGAUGAUCCCGCGUUGUAUUAGCUAGUUGGUGAGGUAAAGGCUCACCAAGGCGAUGAUACAUAGCCGACCUGAGAGGGUGAUCGGCCACACUGGGACUGAGACACGACCCAAACUCCUGCGGGAGGCAGCAGCAGGGAAUCUUCGGCAAUGGACGAAAGUCUGACCGAGCAACGCCGCGUGAGUGAAGAAGGUUUUCGGAUCGUAAAACUCUGUUGGUAGAGAAGAACGUUGGUGAGAGUGGAAAGCUCAUCAAGUGACGGUAACUACCCAGAAAGGUACGGCUAACUACGUG
RNAcentral lists this ribosomal RNA (497 nucleotides) under uncultured bacterium. RNAcentral describes it as "partial 16S ribosomal RNA". It matches the Rfam family "Bacterial small subunit ribosomal RNA", at positions 28 to 507 of the family's 1533-position model. The record is from RNAcentral.